CGUUGUCCGGAUUAUUGGGCGUAAAGAGCUUGUAGGCGGUUUGUCGCGUCUGCUGUGAAAGGCCGGGGCUUAACUCCGUGUAUUGCAGUGGGUACGGGCAGACUAGAGUGCAGUAGGGGAGACUGGAAUUCCUGGUGUAGCGGUGGAAUGCGCAGAUAUCAGGAGGAACACCGAUGGCGAAGGCAGGUCUCUGGGCUGUAACUGACGCUGAGAAGCGAAAGCAUGGGGAGCGAACAGGAUUAGAUACCCUGGUAGUCCAUGCCGUAAACGUUGGGCACUAGGUGUGGGGAACAUUCCACGUUUUCCGCGCCGUAGCUAACGCAUUAAGUGCCCCGCCUGGGGAGUACGGCCGCAAGGCUAAAACUCAAAGAAAUUGACGGGGGCCCGCACAAGCGGUGGAGCAUGUGGAUUAAUUCGAUGCAACGCGAAGAACCUUACCUGGUCUUGACAUGUACGGAAUCCUCCAGAGACGGAGGAGUGCCUUCGGGAGCCGUAACACAGGUGCUGCAUGGCUGUCGUCAGCUCGUGUCGUGAG
This 535-nucleotide ribosomal RNA is filed under the name uncultured bacterium. Its description in RNAcentral is "bacterial SSU rRNA". It matches the Rfam family "Bacterial small subunit ribosomal RNA", at positions 539 to 1071 of the family's 1533-position model. The record is from RNAcentral.